This 86-nucleotide transfer RNA is filed under the name Xanthomonas citri pv. citri. RNAcentral's name for it is "tRNA-Leu". It matches the Rfam family "tRNA". From Rfam's summary of the family: Transfer RNA (tRNA) molecules are approximately 80 nucleotides in length. Their secondary structure includes four short double-helical elements and three loops (D, anti-codon, and T loops). The record is from RNAcentral. Lineage: Bacteria; Pseudomonadati; Pseudomonadota; Gammaproteobacteria; Lysobacterales; Lysobacteraceae.
GCGAAAGUGGCGGAAUUGGUAGACGCACCAGAUUUAGGUUCUGACGCCGCAAGGCGUGGGGGUUCGAGUCCCCCCCUUUCGCACCA